Molecule: small RNA, 27 nt
Filed under: Bombyx mori (domestic silkworm)
Lineage: Eukaryota; Metazoa; Arthropoda; Insecta; Lepidoptera; Bombycidae
Description: ovarian small RNA-14490
Source: RNAcentral
CGGGAACAGAAAAGUUUCGAGGUAGCA